UACGUAGGGUGCGAGCGUUAAUCGGAAUUACUGGGCGUAAAGCGUGCGCAGGCGGCGCCGCAAGUCAGGCGUGAAAUCCCCGAGCUUAACUUGGGAAUGGCGCUUGAAACUACGGUGCUGGAGUGUGGCAGAGGGAGGGUGGGAUUCCACGUGUAGCGGUGAAAUGCGUAGAGAUGUGGAGGAACACCGAUGGCGAAGGCAGCCUCCUGGGCCAACACUGACGCUCAUGCACGAAAGCGUGGGGAGCAAACAGG
Molecule: ribosomal RNA, 254 nt
Filed under: uncultured bacterium
Lineage: Bacteria
Description: partial 16S ribosomal RNA
Rfam family: Bacterial small subunit ribosomal RNA
Source: RNAcentral